Molecule: ribosomal RNA, 253 nt
Filed under: uncultured bacterium
Lineage: Bacteria
Description: partial 16S ribosomal RNA
Rfam family: Bacterial small subunit ribosomal RNA
Source: RNAcentral
UACGUAGGGUGCAAGCGUUGUCCGGAAUUAUUGGGCGGAAAGAGCUCGUAGGCGGUUUGUCGCGUCGGCUGUGAAAACCUGAGGCUCAACCUCGGGCCUGCAGUCGAUACGGGCAAACUAGAGUUCGGUAGGGGAGACUGGAAUUCCUGGUGUAGCGGUGGAAUGCGCAGAUAUCAGGAGGAACACCAAUGGCGAAGGCAGGUCUCUGGGCCGAAACUGACGCUGAGGAGCGAAAGCGUGGGGAGCGAACAGG